UCUCAUUAUUGCUACUAAAAAUCUCUGCUGUCUUUUGCGAAUUGCCGUAAAUUUCCACUCGGCACACGCAGGUGCGUUCUGCGUUUCCCCAGUUGCUCCGCGCCUCCAAUCUGGCACGGCCGAAGGCUUUGCGGGGCUCCUCCUGCUGAUACAAAGCGGGAAGCGCCGCGGCACAUCCGCACGGCUCCCUUUGCCAGCCGCAGAACCCCGGCUUGCUCUGCUCCGCUCCCUGGGCUGCCGUGGGACGCCAGAGCGGCGCUGCUGAUGGGGGAAGGCAGCUGCACUCCUCCCUCCCGCCAGCAGUCGUCCCUCCACACCCGCAGGAGGACGGUUUCCCUCCCAGCAGCCUACCGCACGCACUGGCCGUACCUGCGCGUGGAAGGUGUGGGCGAUCUCUCCGUCCACAUCGUAAACAACCAACCCCAGGAGAGUUUCACCUUCAUCCUCAUCUGCUCCCUCAAAGACAAGAGAUGACGGCAGUCACACUUAGGCAGGCCUUGCGAAAAAGAACAUGCAGAGGCCGAAGGUGGGAGCCCCUCUCCCCCACAUCAGCUCUGGCAGGAUUGGAGCACAAAGGAGGGAACUGACCAAGAAACUGAGCAGGAUGCACUGCAGGAAGGCAGCCAUCCCACCCUGCCGGUCUCGGACAGUGGAACGCAGGCAGCGUCAACAGCUGGCACGCCAGGCAUGAAUGCAGGAAAGCACAGAGGCUGCUGUUCACAAAUCUGAGCAGAAGUGCCACGUCACAGCCAUGGUAAUGUUCUCAGCUGUGCUGCUGUCUGCAUGCUGCUGGCCUGUGGUGCCGUGAUGUGGAUGUGCCAGAAAUACCUGUGAGUUGCCUUUUCCCCAAAACACCCGAUUGCUGCACUUGGCAAUGAAGCAUCUGUAGUGCCAGGAUCCUGGACGGCCAGAUCAGCUGCUGGCAGCGCACUGCCAGGACUAACAGCUCAGAUUUAUCUGAAGAUGAAAUUGCUAACCGGAGAUACGGAUUGUUGUACCAGGAAAUGGAGGCUGAUAAAGCAGAGGUAGGAUGCCGCUGCAUUUACAGUGCAAUCAAAUGAGAAUGUGACAGAGACUCUAAAUCCGUAAAACAAAAGACUGAGGCUGAAGAAGCUCCACCUGGGGAAGUCAAGGUCGAGGAAACCCCUGCUGCUGCUGUUGUGGGAAAGGAGGCCAUCCCUACUGAGCCAGAUGAGCCAACAGAGCAGACUGCGGGGAACAGCGUUAGGAAAGCGUACAAACAGAAGUGAAGAGUGGCUUGGAAAUGGUCUGAAGCUCUACUCAACCAGUGUCAGGUUGGUUGUGUGCUGGUGGUGUUGGACCACUGCAGAAGCCACUCAUGAUACCACGCAAACUGUAUGCAGCAGAAGGCUCUGGAGUACAGCUGUAGUUUAAAGGACUUCUCAAGGACAGAGAGAUGAUUUUGCCUGGAUAGUUGCA
This is a long non-coding RNA of Lagopus leucura (white-tailed ptarmigan), 1440 nucleotides long. RefSeq lists it as uncharacterized. The record is from RefSeq and is a predicted model, not a curated record. The transcript has 6 exons. Lineage: Eukaryota; Metazoa; Chordata; Aves; Galliformes; Phasianidae.